UAGCUGUGUUUUGGUUUGGGAACUUGCC
This 28-nucleotide non-coding RNA is filed under the name Mus musculus (house mouse). Lineage: Eukaryota; Metazoa; Chordata; Mammalia; Rodentia; Muridae. The record is from RNAcentral.